Oryza sativa Indica Group (long-grained rice) is the source of this 206-nucleotide microRNA precursor. It matches the Rfam family "MIR812 microRNA precursor family". Lineage: Eukaryota; Viridiplantae; Streptophyta; Magnoliopsida; Poales; Poaceae. The record is from Rfam.
AAUAAGCGCAACUGUGGGUUUCAAUGCCUAAUAUUUGACCAUCCGUCUUAUAUAAAUUUUUUUUAUGAUUAGUAUUUUAUUGUUAUUGGAUGAUAAAAUACAAAUAUUACUUUAUGCGUGACUUAAUAUUUUAAUUUUUUUUAUAAAUUUUUUAAAUAAGACGGAUGGUCAAACGUUGGACAUGGAAAGUUAUGACUGCACUUAUA